GUCGAGAAUAAUUCACAAUGGGGGAAACCCUGAUGGUGCAACGCCGCGUGGAGGAUGAAGGUCUUCGGAUUGUAAACUCCUGUCAUCUGGGAGUAAGACCUGACGGUGAAUAGCCGGCAGGGUUGAUAGUACCGGAAGAGGAAGGGACGGCUAACUUCGUGCCAGCAGCCGCGGUAAUACGAAGGUCCCAAGCGUUGUUCGGAAUCACUGGGCGUAAAGGGUGCGUAGGCGGCGUGGUAAGUCAGAUGUGAAAUCCCGGGGCUCAACCUCGGAACUGCAUCCGAUGCUGCCAUGCUUGAGGGCUGGAGAGGUAACUGGAAUUCUCGGUGUAGCAGUGAAAUGCGUGGAUAUCGAGAGGAACACUCGUGGCGAAGGCGAGUUACUGGACAGCAUCUGACGCUGAGGCACGAAGGCCAGGGGAGCGAAAGGGAUUAGAUACCCGAGUAGUCC
Molecule: ribosomal RNA, 450 nt
Filed under: uncultured bacterium
Lineage: Bacteria
Description: partial 16S ribosomal RNA
Rfam family: Bacterial small subunit ribosomal RNA
Source: RNAcentral